This 497-nucleotide ribosomal RNA is filed under the name uncultured bacterium. Its description in RNAcentral is "partial 16S ribosomal RNA". It matches the Rfam family "Bacterial small subunit ribosomal RNA", at positions 28 to 507 of the family's 1533-position model. The record is from RNAcentral.
GAUGAACGCUGGCGGCGUGCCUAAUACAUGCAAGUCGAGCGAACGGACUAGAAGCUUGCUUCUCUGAUGUUAGCGGCGGACGGGUGAGUAACACGUGGAUAACCUACCUAUAAGACUGGGAUAACUUCGGGAAACCGGAGCUAAUACCGGAUAAUAUUUUGAACCGCAUGGUUCAAAAGUGAAAGACGGUCUUGCUGUCACUUAUAGAUGGAUCCGCGCUGCAUUAGCUAGUUGGUAAGGUAACGGCUUACCAAGGCAACGAUGCAUAGCCGACCUGAGAGGGUGAGCGGCCACACUGGAACUGAGACACGGUCCAGACUCCUACGGGAGGCAGCAGUAGGGAAUCUUCCGCAAUGGGCGAAAGCCUGACGGAGCAACGCCGCGUGAGUGAUGAAGGUCUUCGGAUCGUAAAACUCUGUUAUUAGGGAAGAACAUAUGUGUAAGUAACUGUGCACAUCUUGACGGUACCUAAUCAGAAAGCCACGGCUAACUACGUG